This 347-nucleotide ribosomal RNA is filed under the name uncultured soil bacterium. RNAcentral's name for it is "bacterial SSU rRNA". It matches the Rfam family "Bacterial small subunit ribosomal RNA", at positions 26 to 380 of the family's 1533-position model. The record is from RNAcentral.
AGAUUGAACGCUGGCGGCAUGCCUUACACAUGCAAGUCGAACGGUAGAGUAGCAAUACUCGAGAGUGGCGAACGGGUGAGUAAUAUAUCGGAACGUGCCCAGUCGUGGGGGAUAACGUAGAGAAAUUUACGCUAAUACCGCAUACGAUCUAAGGAUGAAAGCGGGGGAUCGCAAGACCUCGCGCGAUUGGAGCGGCUGAUAUCAGAUUAGGUUGUUGGUGAGGUAAAAGCUCACCAAGCCGACGAUCUGUAGCUGGUUUGAGAGAACGACCAGCCACACUGGGACUGAGACACGGCCCAGACUCCUACGGGAGCAGCGAGUGGGGAAUUUGGACAAGUGGGACGAAA